AUUGAACGCUGGCGGCAGGCUUAACACAUGCAAGUCGAGCGAGCGGCGGACGGGUGAGUAAUGUCUGGGAAACUGCCUGAUGGAGGGGGAUAACUACUGGAAACGGUAGCUAAUACCGCAUACCAUCAGAUGUGCCCAGAUGGGAUUAGCUAGUAGGUGGGGUAAUGGCUCACCUAGGCGACGAUCCCGAGCUGGUCUGAGAGGAUGACCCGCCACCAUGGAACUGGGCAGCGGUCCAGACUCCAACGGGAGGCAGCAGUGGGGAAUAUUGGCCAAUGGGCGCAAGCCUGAUGCAGCAAUGCCGCGGGUGUGAAGAAGGCCUUCGGGUUGUAAAGCACUUUCAUCGAGGAGGCGUUACUCGCAGAAGAAGCACCGGCUAACUCCGUGCCAGCAGCCGCGGUAAUAC
This 406-nucleotide ribosomal RNA is filed under the name uncultured bacterium. RNAcentral describes it as "partial 16S ribosomal RNA". It matches the Rfam family "Bacterial small subunit ribosomal RNA", at positions 30 to 526 of the family's 1533-position model. The record is from RNAcentral.